Molecule: long non-coding RNA, 3500 nt
Organism: Lagenorhynchus albirostris (white-beaked dolphin)
Lineage: Eukaryota; Metazoa; Chordata; Mammalia; Artiodactyla; Delphinidae
Exons: 9
Source: RefSeq, a predicted model, not a curated record
CGCCCGGGAGGCGGCGUAGUCCGCGCGGCGUCGCUGUCGCUUACGUCCGGCUCAGCGGGGUGCAGGUGCGUGGCGAGCUCCUGCAGCACCGCGGCGCGCCCGAUCUGGUCGUUGCGCCGCUUUUCCAUGAUCAGGUCCUCCAAGCUCUGGAACUCGAGCGUGUGGCUACGCUGCGCAGAGAGCUGGAUCUGCAGCCGGUAGGGCUGCUUACCGAUGCGCAGCUCGCCGCCGAUCUUGAAUUCGCGCUUGCCGUAGCGGCACCAGGCGGCGAAGCUCUCCGAGUUGCGCCAGCUCAGCUCGCGCUCCUUGGCGCCCACGUGCGCCAGCGCGUUGCGCACCACGGCGCUGGGGCUCAGCGGCUUGUAGCGGUACAGCUCGUUUACUACGCGGCCGCGCCGGCCCUGGCUCGCGUCCGUCAGGAAGCUGUUGCUCACCUCCAGCCGGUGCAAGUGCACCACCUGGAAGUUGCCCACGUAGACAGCCCAGUGCGGGUACUGCGCCUGCGACACGAACUCCACCAGGUCGCCAGGCCUGCACUUGUUGAGCAGGUUCUCGGGCGUGUAGGUGCUCAGCGCCGCGGAGCCCGGCGCGAAGCUUUUCUGGUAGAUGCACUCGUCGCGGUAGAACACGGAGCACUCCACCUCGUGCAGCCGCGGGUCAUAGGGCUGCGGCGAGGGCAGCGGCAGCCCGUCCCCGCCGUCAGGCAAACCGCCGCCACCGCCAUCCGGCCCCUGGGGCGGCGGCUGCGGCUCCACGUCCUCGUCGUCAUUGGAGAAGAUGUAGGAGACCCCGAUGCGGGGCCCGUCGUCCCGGUCCACGCCCGUCGGGUCGGCAGUGGGAACUUCCUUAUAACUUAGAACCGAUUUCUUGCCAAAGGUCACAGAAGAGAAUUUUGUACUAGGACAGCUGGAGAAGUGCUUCCGUUUAGAGGUAACAAGCAGUUGGGGGACCAGCAGAGGUACUCACUUUUCAGGGCUGGAUCAGGCCAACCCUUGCUUCUCCAAGGGUGGUUACCAACAGGCAGUAUGGGCCUCACGCCGGAGGGAGCUGAGCUUGCUGGAAAUGCAGGAUCUCAGACGCCACCCCCGAUUGGCUGAACCAGGAUUUGCAGUUUAACAAGAUCACCAGGUGAUUCUGAUAAAAGCCAGCAUGUCCUCUAGUGAGACUGACAAUUUUGUGAGCACAGAGCCGGGAAAAGGCAGCAAACCAAAGUGAACAGUCAGCUAAGUAGAGUUUGCUGGAGAUUUACGCAGAAACCUACCCACAGAAGCAGGGCUGAUGGAUUUAUAACAGGGGCGGGAUAAUUUGUUCUUGUGUGCGAAGAUAAGGGUAAACAUAUUUCAUGCUGUGAUGUAAGCCCCUAUCUGCAGAAGUCAGGAGAGAUUCCCUGCCCUGUUGCUGAAUCGUGUGCUUGACAAAUUAUCCUCAGAAGCUUAUUUUAAGAGACUUUAUCUGGAGGUCUCACUGGGGCCCAAAUGUGAAAGGUGGAAGGACAUGCCUGGGGGCAGAGGAGGGGGACUCUUCUGUCCCUGCACAUCUGGAAGCUCAGAAAUGAAAGUGGCACGGGGCUAUAGUAUUUGGAAAAUCCUGGAGAGGAGCUGGGAUGGAAGCGAGUAACUGUGUGAUCCCUGGGCCUGAUUGAGGAAAUAUGCCAGGAAACAUGUGUUCCCAUUUCAGCCCAUCUUGGCCUUGGUCCAGCAGUCAUACCCACCCUAGACCUGCCUCUGCCCUUUAUUUUGUCAACAGCAGGUAGAUAAAGUGCUCUUGGUUUCCAGAGCUUCUCAUCACACUUCCUGGGAAGGAAGCCCUUACUGAGCUCUAGGAACUGGCUGGCUGUCUCCACCACACCUCUAGAGGACAAAGGCAGAGUCUUGAUAAUCUUUGUAUCCCUUAUGUGUAAAUUUUCUAUAUGUGCUAAAAAUGUUUACAGAAAUAAGAAAGAAAGCUGGAGCUCUGAGGGUGAACCUCUUUAAGAAAUACAGGAAUGUAACUUAAAUUUUGCAGAAUUAUCAUUCUAUAAUAUUUACUAUUUGGUGUUCUGCCAUUUUAAAAAUAAUUCUAAUUAAUCUGUAAGUAAUUAUUAUCCCACUUUACAGAUAUUGAAACUGAGGGUCCAGAGCCAAGAAAACACAGAUCUCAUGUAAUGAAGCCAGGACUCAAACCUACUACUGUUAGAUGUCCAACCCCACUUUGUCCAAGCUGAUGCUAGAGUCACGAUCCCAGGCCCUCCAUGUUCCUUUGGGGACUUCCCUGAGCCUAGGCCUGGGCCCCAUGUUUCCCAUUUGUAAAACUGGGGGAGGGAUGGACUAGGAUCCCACAGGCUGCUUGUCAGUGGGUGUCAGAAGUGCAGGAGAAGAAGGUGAGCAGCCCAGGACGCUGGGCUUUAAGGCUUGAGCAAUGUCAAGUGGGAGUCCCCAGUAAAUUGAGAUGUUGCCACACAGACUUGGGCAUGAGAAAAACUAACAGAGAGCCAGUCACUAUCACAAGGGCUUCAAGGGGCAAAUUCAACCCAGGUAUCAGAAGUCCAGUCUAAGACUGAUGAGUGACCAGGCUGGUGGGAGAGAAAACAGGUUGAUCCCCAAAGAUGUGUGUGGCCACAGUUGUGUGGAGAGUAAGGCCAGACACACAUGCACGCACAUGCGCACACCCACACGGGGAUACAGCCAUCAAGAGAGCAUCUGUGUGCAGCCAGAGAUACAAGCGACAGGAUAAGAUUCUUUUAUGGUGCAGGUAAUAUCACCCCGACUCUCAGGCUUCCCCUACGUAGGACUUGGCAGAAUGUCAUAUAAUUGCAACCAUUUAGCCCAUAGACACCAACCCAAGGAGCUGGACAAGUAUCUCCAAGGAACGCAGGAAGGAUCAGUUGCAGAUAUGACGAUGGGAGCUAGAAGAUACACCUGAGACCCAGAGCCUGUCUAGGGAGUAACCUGUCUGCUGUGCUGAUGAAACUCCUGCCCAGCGUGAAUGCCUGACCAAAGCUCAAGUGACUCACGAGCUGCUGUAUGUUUGAGGGACACUCAUCUGAAGGUCACUGAUCAGGUGCACAGAUUCUCCGCUCGAGCCCUCAAGGACCUACCAGACUGUGGGCUGGACCACGACCCCCAGACCGCGUCCUAAGAACCUUCUCGCCCGAAUGAUUAGCUGCUUCUUCCCAAGCGUCUGCUCACACCUUGAAACAGCCGCUGCGGAAGGCGCCUCCCCUAAGAUCCCUGGGACAGGAAAUAAAUAUUUUACUGUUACACAGCCUGAUUUAUUGCAGUAGUAGAAACAAACCAAGAACGUUACUUCUUAAAAGAUCUUUACAUUUUAUAUUUUUGUCUGUGCUUUUUUUUUUUUUUUGCGGUACGUGGGCCUCUCACUGUUGUGGCCUCUCGCGUUGUGGAGCACAGGCUCCGGACGUGCAGGCUCAGCAGCCAUGGCUCAUGGGCCUAGCCACUCCGCGGCAUGUGAGAUCUUCCCAGAACGGGGCACGAGCCUGUGUGCUUUUUAAUGUAUGCAAA